UUUGUUGAGAAUUUUGAUUUGCUUACUGAUGGUACUUUUUCCACUAUCGGAGGCACCUAGAAAACAAUGGUUAGACUGACGAUUGUAAGAAACAAAGGAAGGAAAAUUUGCUAUAGGAAUCAAACAAAAAAUCUGUGCUAUGCAAUGGAGAGAAACGGUAAGAGUGUAGAGCAACUGAUUACAACAUGCAACGACGACGAAAAGUGGUUAACUAGAAGAACGUUAUCAAAGUCACCUUCACUGACUGAGUAUUGAAGGGAAAGGGUAACCAAGAGUAGAGAACGUAGACGCAAUUAGA
Schizosaccharomyces pombe (fission yeast) is the source of this 298-nucleotide non-coding RNA. The record is from the annotation of a GenBank genome assembly. Lineage: Eukaryota; Fungi; Ascomycota; Schizosaccharomycetes; Schizosaccharomycetales; Schizosaccharomycetaceae.